AGAUACAGUUAAGUCUACCUUAUAUAUCUUGACCUCAACUAGAAACUGACAGUGAGGGUCUGCUGAAAACAAAACUUUACGACAAAAGAGAUGAUUUAAGCUUAUAGAUUAAUUACGGGAAUUGUACUAACAUGAGCAACACGAUGGGCGCAACACGUGCAGUAGGAUCUGCGUACCCUCAAGUCUUAUGGUUUUUUUUGUACUAUUGUGUCAUGUGUGUGUCUGUAUGUCUUUUUCCUUUUUAAUCAUGUUGUUGUCAGUUUAAACUCGACUUAUGAGUUUGCAUGUCCCUUUUGUAUCUUUCGCCUCCCUUCUAAUAAAAAAUCAUGUGUACACAUAUAUUCUAAUCUAAUUGUUCUAAGCUUAACUAAGUUUGUCCAUAAACAACCUAUAUGUUUAACAAAUGGGUUCAGAACCUGACAAUUAGUAUGUUGCUACUUGCAAGAGCGCGACGUUUCUACUGUUUAAUGUGCACAAAUUAUCAAUACUCGUUGAUUCUUAUUCUGAUAAUAGCUGACGCAAUUACCACACGCAAUCAAAAAUGCUUACUCCUUUUAAUAAAUGAGAUUGAGCAAGAUGAUAAGCAAAACAUUAUAUUAAGUAACUCACAGUAUCAAGUGCAUGCAAAACAAU
RNAcentral lists this long non-coding RNA (633 nucleotides) under Mytilus galloprovincialis (Mediterranean mussel). Lineage: Eukaryota; Metazoa; Mollusca; Bivalvia; Mytilida; Mytilidae. The record is from RNAcentral.